Thalassophryne amazonica is the source of this 197-nucleotide long non-coding RNA. RefSeq lists it as uncharacterized. NCBI's taxonomy places the organism in Eukaryota, Metazoa, Chordata, Actinopteri, Batrachoidiformes, Batrachoididae. The record is from RefSeq and is a predicted model, not a curated record. The transcript has 4 exons.
GGUCAUCAGGUGUGAACUCUGCUAUGGAUCAGUGUGAGGACACCGAGGAGGGACCCCUGAAAACCGGUCUGUGUGGGGACCAUGAGAUCCAGAUCAAAGAUCAGAGACCACAGCAGAACACAGCGCCCUCUGCUGGACCUGAACCUGAACCCACUUUGGUGUCCCUGAAGAGUGACUGGUCAAAGGGAAAGCUCAUU